RNAcentral lists this ribosomal RNA (748 nucleotides) under uncultured bacterium. RNAcentral describes it as "bacterial SSU rRNA". It matches the Rfam family "Bacterial small subunit ribosomal RNA", at positions 28 to 776 of the family's 1533-position model. The record is from RNAcentral.
GAUGAACGCUGGCGGCGUGCUUAACACAUGCAAGUCGAGCGAAGCACUUUUGCGGAUUUCUUCGGAUUGAAGCAAUUGUGACUGAGCGGCGGACGGGUGAGUAACGCGUGGGUAACCUGCCUCAUACAGGGGGAUAACAGUUGGAAACGGCUGCUAAUACCGCAUAAGCGCACAGUACCGCAUGGUACGGUGUGAAAAACUCCGGUGGUAUGAGAUGGACCCGCGUCUGAUUAGGUAGUUGGUGGGGUAACGGCCUACCAAGCCGACGAUCAGUAGCCGACCUGAGAGGGUGACCGGCCACAUUGGGACUGAGACACGGCCCAAACUCCUACGGGAGGCAGCAGUAGGGAAUAUUGCACAAUGGGGGAAACCCUGAUGCAGCGACGCCGCGUGAGCGAUGAAGUAUUUCGGUAUGUAAAGCUCUAUCAGCAGGGAAGAAAAUGACGGUACCUGACUAAGAAGCCCCGGCUAACUACGUGCCAGCAGCCGCGGUAAUACGUAGGGGGCAAGCGUUAUCCGGAUUUACUGGGUGUAAAGGGAGCGUAGACGGCAUGGCAAGCCAGAUGUGAAAGCCCGGGGCUCAACCCCGGGACUGCAUUUGGAACUGUCAGGCUAGAGUGUCGGAGAGGAAAGCGGAAUUCCUAGUGUAGCGGUGAAAUGCGUAGAUAUUAGGAGGAACACCAGUGGCGAAGGCGGCUUUCUGGACGAUGACUGACGUUGAGGCUCGAAAGCGUGGGGAGCAAACAGG